AGUGAACGCUGGCGGCAGGCCUAACACAUGCAAGUCGAGCGGCAGCGGGUCCUUCGGGAUGCCGGCGAGCGGCGGACGGGUGAGGAAUGCGUCGGAAUCUGCCUUUUUGUGGGGGAUAACGUAGGGAAACUUACGCUAAUACCGCAUACGACCUACGGGUGAAAGUGGGGGACCGCAAGGCCUCAUGCAGAAAGAUGAGCCGACGUCGGAUUAGCUAGUUGGCGGGGUAAAGGCCCACCAAGGCGACGAUCCGUAGCUGGUCUGAGAGGAUGAUCAGCCACACUGGAACUGAGACACGGUCCAGACUCCUACGGGAGGCAGCAGUGGGGAAUAUUGGACAAUGGGCGCAAGCCUGAUCCAGCCAUGCCGCGUGUGUGAAGAAGGCCUUCGGGUUGUAAAGCACUUUUGUCCGGAAAGAAAUCCUGUCGGCUAAUACCCGGCGGGGAUGACGGUACCGGAAGAAUAAGCACCGGCUAACUUCGUG
RNAcentral lists this ribosomal RNA (484 nucleotides) under uncultured bacterium. RNAcentral's name for it is "partial 16S ribosomal RNA". It matches the Rfam family "Bacterial small subunit ribosomal RNA", at positions 29 to 507 of the family's 1533-position model. The record is from RNAcentral.